UCUUUUAUUUACGUCUGCAGUACGAACGUUUUGAACUAACCCGCUUAGUACACUGGGCUAGAGGGCGCAUUUGGCCAUGUGAUACGCUCAGCAAGUAGAAAUCGUUAUGACGUCACACGGCAAAAUCGAUCAUUGAAAGAUUCAACAACAACAUUCAAAGAUUUCUAGCCUGUUGUCGUUAAUAAUAAAACUUGAAAUAGACAGGAGAAAGGUCUGGACUCUAUACAGAAGUCAGUACAUGUAGCAGAUGUACAAUGGAUUCCAGUAAAAAGUUUGAAUGUUCAUUAUGCUUAAGAAAGUUCAUACAGAAACGCCAUCUGAAAAAUCAUCUAGAUCAAUCCCAUGGUAAAGCGCAACAAAAUAUCUACCAGUAUGAAGAAGUCAACAUCAAUAGAAGAAAAGUGUUCAGUUGCUCCAUUUGCAGCAGACGGUUUAGGCAGAAACGAAGUAUUGUACAGCAUCAGGUUCGUCACCACAGUAAG
This is a long non-coding RNA of Dreissena polymorpha, 482 nucleotides long. RefSeq lists it as uncharacterized. The transcript is spliced from 3 exons. The record is from RefSeq and is a predicted model, not a curated record. NCBI's taxonomy places the organism in Eukaryota, Metazoa, Mollusca, Bivalvia, Myida, Dreissenidae.